CAGCAGCCGCGGGAAUACGAAGGGUGCAAGCGUUACUCGGAAUUACUGGGCGUAAAGCGUGCGUAGGUGGUGGUUUAAGUCCGUUGUGAAAGCCCUGGGCUCAACCUGGGAAUUACAGUGGAUACUGGGUCACUAGAGUGUGGUAGAGGAUAGUGGAAUUUCCGGUGUAGCAGUGAAAUGCGUAGAGAUCGGAAGGAACAUCUGUGGCGAAGGCGACUAUCUGGGCCAACACUGACACUGAGGCACGAAAGCGUGGGGAGCAAACAGGAUUAGAUACCCCCGUAGUCCCUGUCUCUUAUAC
RNAcentral lists this ribosomal RNA (301 nucleotides) under uncultured bacterium. Its description in RNAcentral is "partial 16S ribosomal RNA". It matches the Rfam family "Bacterial small subunit ribosomal RNA", at positions 509 to 807 of the family's 1533-position model. The record is from RNAcentral.